This 499-nucleotide ribosomal RNA is filed under the name uncultured Glomeromycotina. RNAcentral's name for it is "partial small subunit ribosomal RNA". It matches the Rfam family "Eukaryotic small subunit ribosomal RNA", at positions 591 to 1092 of the family's 1831-position model. Lineage: Eukaryota; Fungi; Glomeromycota. The record is from RNAcentral.
CCAAUAGCGUAUAUUAAAGUUGUUGCAGUUAAAAAGCUCGUAGUUGAAUUUCGGGAUCAGUUGGUCGGUCGUGCCUCGGUACGUACUGGUCAAAUUGAUUCCUACCUUCUGACGAACCACGAUGUCAUUAAUUUGGUGUCGCGGGAAAUCAGGACUGUUACUUUGAAAAAAUUAGAGUGUUUAAAGCAGGCUCGCGCUUGAAUACAUUAGCAUGGAAUAAUGAAAUAGGACGUUUGAUUCUAUUUUGUUGGUUUCUAGGAUCGACGUAAUGAUUAAUAGGGAUAGUUGGGGGCAUUAGUAUUCAAUUGUCAGAGGUGAAAUUCUUGGAUUUAUUGAAGACUAACUACUGCGAAAGCAUUUGCCAAGGAUGUUUUCAUUAAUCAAGAACGAAAGUUAGGGGAUCGAAGACGAUCAGACACCGUCGUAGUCUUAACCAUAAACUAUGCCGACUAGGGAUCGGAUGAUGUUAAUUUUUUAAUGACUCAUUCGGCGCCUUACG